This 1656-nucleotide small RNA is filed under the name Pan troglodytes (chimpanzee). Its description in RNAcentral is "retained intron". Lineage: Eukaryota; Metazoa; Chordata; Mammalia; Primates; Hominidae. The record is from RNAcentral.
AUGAGGAAAAAGAAAAUAAUAGAGCAUCCAAGCCCCACUCCACUCCUGCUACUCUGCAAUGGCUGGAGGAGAACUAUGAGAUUGCAGAGGGGGUCUGCAUCCCUCGCAGUGCCCUCUAUAUGCAUUACCUGGAUUUCUGCGAGAAGAAUGAUACCCAACCUGUCAAUGCUGCCAGCUUUGGAAAGAUCAUAAGGCAGCAGUUUCCUCAGUUAACCACCAGAAGACUCGGGACCCGAGGACAGUCAAAGUAAGCACCGGACGGCCAUUCCACCUGCAGAGCGCACAUCUAUGGGCCUCGAGACAGGCCACACCCUUGGCUCUUUAUCCUGAGCUCUGUCUGCAGGCCUGGCAGAAGUCUGUGCCUAGAGGGAAUAUGGAAGAGCUUUAUGACGACCAGGGCCCCUCUCUCAGGACUCCUGAAAGAGAGGUUGUCCAAAAGCCCAAGACAAGUUGGCUCUGCUGCUUUAAGGAAUCUGAUUUUGUACCACCCUGCUUUUAGGCAUAUUUUGUAAAAUAGUCUUGGGCAUCAUUGAAAGGAUUGCCUUGCGGCCUCUUGGAUGAUCACCAGGUUAUCUGGACUGUUUUGCUGAGCAAACUCUGCUCUGAUAGUAUGCAGUAGACCAGAGAAGCAAAACUGUACUAUUCCCUGCAUGGGAGAUGGGGCAGAAACGUCCAGCUGCACCAUGGUCCAUGAGGGUUCACGGCUUCCCAUUCAUCAGUUUCAUCAAGCAACCAACCAACUCAUGCUUUAUACUUUCUGUGUGUCACAUAUGUGGUGCUAGGUACUGGGAACACAGGAGCAAAUCAGUUGCUGCCCUCAUGGAGCAUAGAUUCCGGUGGGAAACAGACAAAACAGAGAAUCAGAUUGUGACAAAGUUGUAGCAGAGAGCAACAAAAGAGGAAUGGCCAGGGAAGGUCUUUCAGAGGAGGUUACAUUUAAGUAAAGACUAGGGGAGUGCAGAAGGCUGAGACACUUGUCUGCUAGGUGUGAGUCAGUGGGAAGGGAAUCUCUUCCUGUACUGCUCGACCUUCAUUAAAAUCUGCAUUUAUAGGACUUGCCUCUAAGGAUGUUUCAAAAUUUGUUGGACGAUAAUAGGUGUUCCAUGAAGAAGAGCAGCAGGCCCUAUAAGUUUGGUUAACACUAAGUUUAAACAGUUUCCUUUACUGCAAGACUUCUCAGAACCCUUAUUAUGCUAAUGUACAAGGUGACUCCACUAGAGGGUGCCUUAUUAUGCAGCAUUUCUAAGCAUUUUGACCACGUUGAGCAGGUCAGCACAUAGUGACCUAUAAAACACUGUAACUUUUUAGAAAGGCAACCAUAUAGGACUUUUAAGACUUGUCUUGAAGGAUGUGUCAAAAGCAUGUCCAGUGCUCUCACCCUGGGCCAAACCCCUGUCCCUCACCAGCUCCUCUCAUCCCUGGGCAGCACAUUCCCAUCCUCCAAGGGUGGGUUUGAUUUUGGAGCUAAGGUAGGGAAAGAAAAUGGAUGAUCGAACUGGGAAAAACCCUUUUUUGGUAUUCUGAAAAUAAUGAGACUAAUUUUUUUGGUGUAGCUCAGAAGCUUUUGAACCAGUCUCUAAAGGGAUUUCCAGAAGACUGUUGAACAAAGGACCUCUUGGAAUAAAUUCCUAAUAAUUUUCCAAGAUGACUAUUCUG